UGUUCCUACGGGACGCAGCAGUGGGGGAUAUUGCACAAUGGGGGAAACCCUGAUGCAGCGACGCCGCGUGAGUGAAGAAGUAUUUCGGUAUGUAAAGCUCUAUCGGCAGGGAAGAAAAAAAUGACAGUAACUGACUAAGAAGCCCCGGCUAACUACGUGCCAGCAGCCGCGGGAAUAAGUAGGGGGCAAGCGGUAUCCGGAUUUACUGGGGGUAAAGGGAGCGGAGGCGGCCACGGAAGUCAGAAGUGAAAACCCGGGGCUCAACCCUGGGGGGGCUUU
RNAcentral lists this ribosomal RNA (279 nucleotides) under uncultured bacterium. RNAcentral describes it as "partial 16S ribosomal RNA". It matches the Rfam family "Bacterial small subunit ribosomal RNA", at positions 334 to 627 of the family's 1533-position model. The record is from RNAcentral.